CGAACGGGUGAGUAACGCGUGAGGAACCUGCCUCAAAGAGGGGGACAACAGUUGGAAACGACUGCUAAUACCGCAUAAGCGCACAGCACCGCAUGGUACAGUGUGAAAAACUCCGGUGGUGUGAGAUGGAUCCGCGUCUGAUUAGCCAGUUGGCGGGGUAACGGCCCACCAAAGCGACGAUGGAUAGGGGUUCUGAGAGGAAGGUCCCCCACAUUGGAACUGAGACACGGUCCAA
Molecule: ribosomal RNA, 235 nt
Filed under: uncultured bacterium
Lineage: Bacteria
Description: partial 16S ribosomal RNA
Rfam family: Bacterial small subunit ribosomal RNA
Source: RNAcentral